Molecule: transfer RNA, 76 nt
Filed under: Pseudomonadota bacterium
Lineage: Bacteria; Pseudomonadati; Pseudomonadota
Also listed under: 1 other name
Description: tRNA-Lys
Rfam family: tRNA
About the family: Transfer RNA (tRNA) molecules are approximately 80 nucleotides in length. Their secondary structure includes four short double-helical elements and three loops (D, anti-codon, and T loops).
Source: RNAcentral
GGUGCGUUAGCUCAGUUGGUAGAGCAGCUGCCUCUUAAGCAGCCUGUCACUGGUUCGAGUCCAGUACGCAUCACCA